GCCGCAGCCGCUCGCUCGCCGGCACCUGCACCCUGCUCUCGCGCUUGCCUUCCCGUCCGGGAGUAGAAAUGCUACGACCUUAAGCAAGUAUGUUUUCGGAGACAUAAACGAAAAAGACGAGGGGGCUACGACUGUCCGAGCGAGCGCCGAGGCACAGAAACGCGAACUGGCCCAGAGCAACCGGGCUCGGCGCAGAGACGCUUGUUACCAGCCCGGAGAGGCCACCGCCAUGGGUCUGCGGAAAGCGGAGCUCUUCUUCAAAGACAGGGUGAUAAACCGCUUCAAAUUAUAUCGAAAAACUAUUCAAAUCCUCAGUUAUUUUCUGUGGACCUGUCCUCACUGAAAUGCCGAUUGUAAGCAAAACCAAAAACUUGAAUUUAUUGAUGUAAGUCCUGUUCAAAGAGGCCAACAGGAGUAUGAGACACACAACGAUGACAUUACUUGGCGAUGCAACCACUACGCCAUGCUUUGCGGAGACGUUCUAAUGAAUUUCUCUUUUUUAAGUGCAAAAUGUAGCCAAGCAACUUCCCCUACAGCUAGCAAUCCCAGAUAAUAUGGUUACUUUCCUAAUGUAAAGUUUCCUGGUGAUGUAUCAUCUAAAACAGUAUCCACAAGGUUUCCGAUUGUGUCACAUAAACAGCAGAACAUAACCCGGCUAAAGAACUGUUAAGUCUCUUUAUAGGCAAACAGUUUCCAUUCAGAGAGCAGGACCACACUCUGGAUUCUUGUUUAAGGUCAGAGUAGUGAUGGUCCUCGGGGGAGCACAAAACAAGAGAGGCUUCUGGGGGUGUUGAUAAUAUUCUGUUUCUCAAGCUGGGUGCUGGUUACACAG
This is a long non-coding RNA of Zalophus californianus (California sea lion), 832 nucleotides long. RefSeq lists it as uncharacterized. The record is from RefSeq and is a predicted model, not a curated record. Lineage: Eukaryota; Metazoa; Chordata; Mammalia; Carnivora; Otariidae. The transcript is spliced from 3 exons.